UGAGUAACACGUAUGCAACCUGCCUGCCACAGCCGGAUAAUCGGGAGAAAUUCCGUCUAAUACGGCAUAAUGCAUCGACGGGACAUCCUGUUGGUGCCAAAGGUUGAUUCCGGUGGCGGAUGGGCAUGCGUCGCAUUAGUUAGUUGGCGGUGUAACGGGCCACCAAGACGACGAUGCGUAGGGGUUCUGAGAGGAAGGUCCCCCACACUGGUACUGAGACACGGACCAGACUCCUACGGGAGGCAGCAG
RNAcentral lists this ribosomal RNA (249 nucleotides) under uncultured bacterium. RNAcentral's name for it is "partial 16S ribosomal RNA". It matches the Rfam family "Bacterial small subunit ribosomal RNA", at positions 107 to 354 of the family's 1533-position model. The record is from RNAcentral.